CAGCCGGCCAGGACGGCCGGCUGAGCUUCGCCGCGACAGGAUGUCGCGUCGAAGCG
Molecule: regulatory RNA element, 56 nt
Organism: Hydrocarboniphaga effusa AP103
Lineage: Bacteria; Pseudomonadati; Pseudomonadota; Gammaproteobacteria; Nevskiales; Nevskiaceae
Source: Rfam